GAGUUUGAUCAUGGCUCAGAUUGAACGCUGGCGGUAGGCUUAACACAUGCAAGUCGUGCGAGAAAGUAUCUUCGGAUAUGAGUAGAGCGGCGGACGGGUGAGUAACGCGUAGGAAUCUACCUAGUAGAAGGGGAUAGCCCGGGGAAACCCGGAUUAAUACCGUAUACCUCCUUCGGGAGAAAGAAGGCCUCUCUUUGAAGCUUUCGCUAUUAGAUGAGCCUGCGUAAGAUUAGCUUGUUGGUGAGGUAAAGGCUCACCAAGGCGACGAUCUUUAGCUGGUCUGAGAGGACGAUCAGCCACAUUGGGACUGAGACACGGCCCAGACUCCUACGGGAGGCAGCAGUGGGGAAUAUUGGACAAUGGGCGCAAGCCUGAUCCAGCCAUACCGCGUGUGUGAAGAAGGCCUUCGGGUUGUAAAGCACUUUAAGCAGGGAGAAAAAGUUAUAAGUUAAUACCUUAUAACCCUGAUGUUACCUGCAGAAUAAGCACCGGCUAAUUCCGUGCCAGCAGCCGCGGUAAUACGGAAGGUGCAAGCGUUAAUCGGAAUUACUGGGCGUAAAGCGCGCGUAGGUGGUUUGUUAAGUUGGAUGUGAAAGCCCUGGGCUCAACCUAGGAACUGCAUCCAAAACUAACUCACUAGAGUACGAUAGAGGGAGGUAGAAUUCAUAGUGUAGCGGUGGAAUGCGUAGAUAUUAUGAAGAAUACCAGUGGCGAAGGCGGCCUCCUGGAUCUGUACUGACACUGAGGUGCGAAAGCGUGGGUAGCGAACAGGAUUAGAUACCCUGGUAGUCCACGCCGUAAACGAUGACAACUAGCUGUUGGGAGACUAUGUCUUUCAGUGGCGCAGCUAACGCUUUAAGUUGUCCGCCUGGGGAGUACGGCCGCAAGGCUAAAACUCAAAUGAAUUGACGGGGACCCGCACAAGCGGUGGAGCAUGUGGUUUAAUUCGAUGCAACGCGAAAAACCUUACCUACUCUUGACAUACUUGGAGGCUCUUGUAAUGAGAGUGUGCCUUUUGGAACCAAGAUACAGGUGCUGCAUGGCUGUCGUCAGCUCGUGUCGUGAGAUGUUCCGUUAAGUCGGAUAACGAGCGCAACCCUUACCCUUAUUUGCCAGCGAUUCGGUCGGGAACUAUAAGGGGACUGCCGGUGAUAAACCGGAGGAAGGUGAGGACGACGUCAAGUCAUCAUGGCCCUUACGAGUAGGGCUACACACGUGCUACAAUGGGAGAUAGAGACGGACGCUAAGCCGCGAGGUGGUGCUAAUCCUAAAAAGUCUUUCGUAGUCCGGAUUGGAGUCUGCAACUCGACUCCAUGAAGUCGGAAUCGCUAGUAAUCGCGGAUCAGCAUGCCGCGGUGAAUACGUUCUCGGGUCUUGUACACACCGCCCGUCACACCAUGGAAGUGGAUUGCACCAGAAGUAGAUAGUCUAACCUUAGGGAGGGCGUUUACCACGGUGUGCUUCAUGACUGGGGUGAAGUCGUAACAAGGUAACC
RNAcentral lists this ribosomal RNA (1495 nucleotides) under uncultured marine bacterium. RNAcentral's name for it is "bacterial SSU rRNA". It matches the Rfam family "Bacterial small subunit ribosomal RNA". The record is from RNAcentral.